This 501-nucleotide ribosomal RNA is filed under the name uncultured bacterium. RNAcentral's name for it is "partial 16S ribosomal RNA". It matches the Rfam family "Bacterial small subunit ribosomal RNA", at positions 30 to 523 of the family's 1533-position model. The record is from RNAcentral.
AUUGAACGCUGGCGGCAUGCCUUACACAUGCAAGUCGAACGGCAGCACGGGUGCUUGCACCUGGUGGCGAGUGGCGAACGGGUGAGUAAUAUAUCGGAACGUACCUUAUCGUGGGGGAUAACGCAGCGAAAGCUGUGCUAAUACCGCAUAAGCCCUAAGGGGGAAUGCAGGGGACCGUAAGGCCUUGCGCGAUUAGAGCGGCCGAUACCUGAUUAGCUAGUUGGUGAGGUAAAGGCUCACCAAGGCAACGAUCAGUAGCUGGUCUGAGAGGACGAACAGCCACAGGGGGACUGAGACACGGCCCAGACGCCUGCGGGAGGCAGCAGUGGGGAAUUUUGGACAAUGGGGGCAACGCUGAUCCAGCAAUGCCGCAUGAGUGAAGGAGGCCUUCGGGUUGUAAAGCUCUUUUGUCAGGGAAGAAACAGCAGCUCUAAUACAGUAUGCGAAUGACGGUACCUGAAGAAUAAGCACCGGCUAACUACGUGCCAGCCGCCGCCGUAA